Molecule: signal recognition particle RNA, 281 nt
Filed under: Carlito syrichta (Philippine tarsier)
Lineage: Eukaryota; Metazoa; Chordata; Mammalia; Primates; Tarsiidae
Description: Metazoan signal recognition particle RNA (ENSTSYG00000030607.1)
Rfam family: Metazoan signal recognition particle RNA
About the family: The signal recognition particle (SRP) is a universally conserved ribonucleoprotein. It is involved in the co-translational targeting of proteins to membranes.
Source: RNAcentral
ACUACAGGUGGUGUGCACCUACAGUCACAGCAACACGGGAGGCUGAGGCCAGAGGAUCACUUGAGUCCAAGCGUUCUGGGCUAUAGUGUGCUAUACCCAUAGGGUGUCCAACACUAAGUUCAGCAUUAGCAGAGUGACCGCCUAGGAAUGGGGACCACUAGGUUGCCUAGGGAAGGCUGGACCGGCCAGGUCAGAAAACACUCUUGCUCAUCUGUAGUGGGAUCGCAUCUGUGAAUAUCCACUGCACUCCAGCCUGGGCAACAUAGUGAGACCCCAUGUCU